UAGACUAACUACCCCUGCAUUCAGAAUUCAUAUAGCGAUUGAAAAUUGAACUCCGUGCACGGUAGUAGUAGUAGUCAGAUCUAUUGUUUCUAAUCAAUUGCUAUAUGGAUUCAGAAUGCAGGUGUAGUUUGUUCA
This 135-nucleotide microRNA precursor is filed under the name Oryza sativa (Asian cultivated rice). RNAcentral describes it as "miR1852 stem-loop (osa-MIR1852)". Lineage: Eukaryota; Viridiplantae; Streptophyta; Magnoliopsida; Poales; Poaceae. The record is from miRBase by way of RNAcentral.